GAUGAACGCUGGCGGCGUGCCUAAUACAUGCAAGUCGAGCGAACGGACGAGAAGCUUGCUUCUCUGAUGUUAGCGGCGGACGGGUGAGUAACACGUGGAUAACCUACCUAUAAGACUGGGAUAACUUCGGGAAACCGGAGCUAAUACCGGAUAAUAUUUUGAACCGCAUGGUUCAAAAGUAAAAGACGGUCUUGCUGUCACUUAUAGAUGGAUCCGCGCUGCAUUAGCUAGUUGGUAAGGUAACGGCUUACCAAGGCAACGAUGCAUAGCCGACCUGAGAGGGUGAUCGGCCAACCAGGAAAUGAGACCCGGUCCAGACCCCAACGGGAGGCAGCAGUAGGGAACCUUCCGCAAGGGGCGAAAGCCUGACGGAGCAACGCCGGGGGGGUGAUGAAGGUCUUCGGAUCGUAAAACUCUUUUAUUAGGGAAAAACAUUUGUGUAAGUAACUGUGCACAUUUUGACGGUACCUAAUCAAAAAGCCACGGCUAACUACGU
RNAcentral lists this ribosomal RNA (496 nucleotides) under uncultured bacterium. RNAcentral's name for it is "partial 16S ribosomal RNA". It matches the Rfam family "Bacterial small subunit ribosomal RNA", at positions 28 to 506 of the family's 1533-position model. The record is from RNAcentral.